This 407-nucleotide ribosomal RNA is filed under the name uncultured bacterium. RNAcentral's name for it is "partial 16S ribosomal RNA". It matches the Rfam family "Bacterial small subunit ribosomal RNA", at positions 28 to 526 of the family's 1533-position model. The record is from RNAcentral.
GACGAACGCUGGCGGCGUGCCUAAUACAUGCAAGUAGAACGCAGUUGCGAACGGGUGAGUAACGCGUAGGUAACUGCCUCAUAGCGGGGGAUAACUAUUGGAAACGAUAGCUAAUACCGCAUACUGUGAGAUGGACCUGCGUUGUAUUGACUAGUUUGUGAGGUAAAGGCUCACCAAGGCGACGAUACAUAGCCGACCUGAGAGGGGGAUCGGCCAAACUGGUACUGAGACACGGCCCGGACUCUUAGGGGAGGCAGCAGUGGGGAAUCUUCGGCAAUGGACGGAAGUCUGGCCGAGCAACGCGGCGUGAGGGAAGAGGGUUGUCGGAUCUUAAAACUCUGUUGUUAGAAAAGCGGUAUCUAACCAGAAAGCCACGGCUAACUACGUGCCAGCAGCCGCGGUAAUUC